RNAcentral lists this ribosomal RNA (911 nucleotides) under uncultured Propionibacterium sp. RNAcentral describes it as "bacterial SSU rRNA". It matches the Rfam family "Bacterial small subunit ribosomal RNA", at positions 534 to 1440 of the family's 1533-position model. Lineage: Bacteria; Bacillati; Actinomycetota; Actinomycetes; Propionibacteriales; Propionibacteriaceae. The record is from RNAcentral.
GCGAGCGUUGUCCGGAUUUAUUGGGCGUAAAGGGCUCGUAGGUGGUUGAUCGCGUCGGAAGUGUAAUCUUGGGGCUUAACCCUGAGCGUGCUUUCGAUACGGGUUGACUUGAGGAAGGUAGGGGAGAAUGGAAUUCCUGGUGGAGCGGUGGAAUGCGCAGAUAUCAGGAGGAACACCAGUGGCGAAGGCGGUUCUCUGGGCCUUUCCUGACGCUGAGGAGCGAAAGCGUGGGGAGCGAACAGGCUUAGAUACCCUGGUAGUCCACGCUGUAAACGGUGGGUACUAGGUGUGGGGUCCAUUCCACGGGUUCCGUGCCGUAGCUAACGCUUUAAGUACCCCGCCUGGGGAGUACGGCCGCAAGGCUAAAACUCAAAGGAAUUGACGGGGCCCCGCACAAGCGGCGGAGCAUGCGGAUUAAUUCGAUGCAACGCGUAGAACCUUACCUGGGUUUGACAUGGAUCGGGAGUGCUCAGAGAUGGGUGUGCCUCUUUUGGGGUCGGUUCACAGGUGGUGCAUGGCUGUCGUCAGCUCGUGUCGUGAGGUGUUGGGUUAAGUCCCGCAACGAGCGCAACCCUUGUUCACUGUUGCCAGCACGUUAUGGUGGGGACUCAGUGGAGACCGCCGGGGUCAACUCGGAGGAAGGUGGGGAUGACGUCAAGUCAUCAUGCCCCUUAUGUCCAGGGCUUCACGCAUGCUACAAUGGCUGGUACAGAGAGUGGCGAGCCUGUGAGGGUGAGCGAAUCUCGGAAAGCCGGUCUCAGUUCGGAUUGGGGUCUGCAACUCGACCUCAUGAAGUCGGAGUCGCUAGUAAUCGCAGAUCAGCAACGCUGCGGUGAAUACGUUCCCGGGGCUUGUACACACCGCCCGUCAAGUCAUGAAAGUUGGUAACACCCGAAGCCGGUGGCCUAACC